UGGGGNNNNNNGNANAAUGGGGGCAACCCUGAUCCAGCAAUGCCGCGUGAGUGAAGAAGGCCCUCGGGUUGUAAAGCUCUUUUGUCAGGGAAGAAACGGAGUUCUCUAAUAUAGGAUUCUAAUGACGGUACCUGAAGAAUAAGCACCGGCUAACUACGUGCCAGCAGCCGCGGUAAUACGUAGGGUGCAAGCGUUAAUCGGAAUUACUGGGCGUAAAGCGUGCGCAGGCGGUUUUGUAAGUCUGAUGUGAAAUCCCCAGGCUCAACCUGGGAACUGCAUUGGAGACUGCAAGGCUAGAGUGUGUCAGAGGGGGGUAGAAUUCCACGUGUAGCAGUGAAAUGCGUAGAGAUGUGGAGGAAUACCGAUGGCGAAGGCAGCCCCCUGGGAUAACACUGACGCUCAUGCACGAAAGCGUGGGGAGCAAACAGGAUUAGAUACCCUGGUAGUCCACGCCCUAAACGAUGUCUACUAGUUGUCGGGACUUAAUUGUCUUGGUAACGCAGCUAACGCGUGAAGUAGACCGCCUGGGGAGUACGGUCGCAAGAUUA
This 548-nucleotide ribosomal RNA is filed under the name uncultured bacterium. RNAcentral's name for it is "bacterial SSU rRNA". It matches the Rfam family "Bacterial small subunit ribosomal RNA", at positions 355 to 896 of the family's 1533-position model. The record is from RNAcentral.